ACAGCUCUAACUACUGUCUUGUAAUUUUAUUUCAUUCAGCUGCUGUGGGCUUAUAUGGCCACUGAAAGGAAUGCAGUCCUGGCCGAGUACUUUUCCAGUGAAAAAAUGUUAAUUUGUUCCAUGCCAUCACCAUUUUUUCAUGUACCUAUGUUCAAAGUCAACUUUCACUGAUCACCCCAGAGAGAGAGAAUUUGUAUAUACACUGCAUUAAAUCAUGUUUGGUAGCAACCUGUGAACCGUGCUGAUAAAAGAAGAAUUGACCUAAACGACUCAACCUCAAUCUAAUGAGAUCAAAAAACAUCAGCAAUAUUAAACCUCACUCUUCUCCCUGGAGGGAUUGUGUUUUUGCAGAAGGCCAAAGAACACAUGGGCAGGAAACAGCUCUUAGGAUGUUGCUCAUUGCCUGUGACCAAGAUCACCCCAUUUAGCCUGAA
Molecule: long non-coding RNA, 434 nt
Filed under: Zonotrichia albicollis (white-throated sparrow)
Lineage: Eukaryota; Metazoa; Chordata; Aves; Passeriformes; Passerellidae
Description: lncRNA (ENSZALG00000011475.1)
Source: RNAcentral